CCCAACAAAGCCUCCACUGCCUGACUGCAGAACACAGCCUUUGAUUGCUCAUGCAGAAAGGUGGCUUGUGAUGAUUGGAACACUCUGAUAUCUGGCUUUGACAAGUUCCUCUUCCUUCUCCAGCUUCAUCCCUGUUUUUCACCUUGCGUGGCUUAAAUCUCUACCCUAAAUAUACUGUCUCCUCUCAAAAUGAAACAACAUAGAAACUACCAAUAAACAGUGUGAAAUAAACAAUAAAUAGCAGAAGGUCUCCUCUAUAAACCGAUUUUUUGAGAAUUCAUAAAUUAAGCAUUUUUUCAGAGUAGGAGCUGGCUGAGGGCUUUAGGUU
RNAcentral lists this long non-coding RNA (328 nucleotides) under Taeniopygia guttata (zebra finch). RNAcentral describes it as "lncRNA (ENSTGUG00000028985.1)". The record is from RNAcentral. Lineage: Eukaryota; Metazoa; Chordata; Aves; Passeriformes; Estrildidae.